ACCUCUCAUUAUUAACCCCAGUCUUUCCUUGAUUUACUUUGUAAGAGUCGAAUAAAUCAUUAUCAGUUGGCCUGUUCACUUGUGCAUCUGCCUUCACCAGGGGCAGCUAAGUCCCGUAAAGGUAGAUGUUCCCUUUAUCUUGUUCUCCACUCUUUUCCUGAAUCCUAGGACACAGCAACUCUCAAUACAUACUGUUAAUAGAUGGAGGAAGGACACAUAACUUACACACUGGCUGAUUAUGACUAUAAAAUUAAAGAAAGAAUUAAUAGUACUUGGACCACUAAUUUUUUAAAAAUGUUUUUAGGUAGUGAUAAGAAGCGUUCUGAGUAGAUUGUUCAAAAAAAAAAAAAAAAAAAGUAGCCUUGGCUGCUCUGGAGCGUGUUCUGAAGCUGAAGUCAGUGUUGGUCUUGCCAUGUUUCUUGCCUUAGCUUCCCGCAGGCAUCCCUAGUCCCUGUAAGUUUUCUUUUCAGUGGUGAGGAUCAAAUCCAGGUCCCAGUGAGUUAUGGGUAAGCCCUCUACCUAUGAGAUACAGCCAUAGAAAGAAAUAUUUUUAGCGUUGACAAUUUAACACAAAAGUUGGUUUCAGUCCUCUGUAAUAAUAUGCUCUCUAAGAAAUACCCCUGAAUUGGGAGUCUGAAUGUGAACUCUGGCCCAGAUCCGACUUGUUAAGUUAUACUUCUAGAGAACAUUUGUUAUUUUUAUGUCUGAGUGUCAUUUCCCCUUUAUACUAGGGAAUACAGGUUUUUCUGGGGAGUACUUCCUCCCCAGUACUCAGGCUUUGGACAGCACGUUUUAUCUCUGACUCCAAGGAUGAGCAUGUAAGUAUGCCUUGCUAAUAAGAGCACUGUACUCUCAUCCACAGAGAUAGGUUUAGGUAUGCGCUUCCAGUCUUAGUUUGAAUUUGUCAUUCUGACUUUUGAUUUUUAGAGCAUAGAUUUAUCUUUUUUUGCAAUGGACUUUAAUUUUGGAGGAUGGGUCAACAAGUGAAACCAAAACAAACAUGAUAAGAAAGUAGGUCUUUUGAAUUCCUAAAAAGUUAUUUAUCCCAAACCUAUACUUUUAAAAUAUGUGUAUUAAUGAAUUUUUCAUUCUUUGUUUAUACUGGCAUGUAUAAUAAGCUUUAGUGAGUUUCUACUUCCUUGUCUUUAAAAUAAGUACACUAGGUUCAAAAGCAGUAGAUUUACCUUUUUGUUAAUAUAUGUUUAAAACAAUGAGUUGGUUUUUGUUUGUUGGUUUUUUGUAGUCUAAGUGUUCUUGGUCUCAUUGUCCUUAUAGGUUACAGGGGUCAGAGUUCAGGACCUCUCCUGGCAUUCAUUCCAGGAAUCUGAAACCUGAACUUGCAGCCCAUGAUCAUUCCUCUGUCUUACCGCCAGGGGGCUGUGCAAGAGCUGCAUCAUGAAAAUGAUGUUCGUUGCAUUGCAUUUAAUUUAGUGUUUUUAUUUUUAAGUGUCAGCAGCUGUUUAAUGCCUGAGAUGUAAUUAUAAUUUAUAAUAAACGAUAAGUUUAGAGAGUUUUCUGAUGCAAUAAAAAGGAGUGGCUAAAGUAAGACAUUUGAAUUCAUUGAUCUUUGCUGCAAGUAGAAGUUUGGUUUCUAAAACAAAACAAAAAAAAUCAGGUUUUUAUGCAUAAAAUAAACGACUCGAUUGCUUCAAUAUUAAUAAUUAUUUCCUUCCUUGGGGGGGAUUCUGUUGUUUAGGGAGACCACCACUGGGAUAACCAUCACUGAUAAGAAACUUUCACAUAGUGUUUUACAUUUCCCACAAUCCUAGGACUGUGUCAGACCUCGGGCACAGUUAUUCACUUGUCUCGGGCUUGCAUUGUCCUCUGCGUGUUUGCUUGUCCUCUGCCCCAUCCCUACCACACUGUGGUCUCCUAGGACAGCAGUGAUAAGGACCUGGUUUGUGGGCCCCAUGGAGCUGGAUUUUGCCGUACGAACAGGUAUCAAGCUCCAUGCCUGGAAGCACAGGGGUGGACUGUGGAGAAGUGAAGGGGGGAAAGAAGCCAAAAUCAGUUAUUUUUAGGGGAAAAGAGCUUCAAUUUACACCAUAUUCUGGUGAGGAAAAGUCUUGGGGUGUGGAGAGGCAGAACAGACAUGGGCUUUAAUUAGUUCCUUCCCCCUUUACCAGGCAAUCAUUUGUUCUCAGAGCAUUUUAUACUUUACUUUACAGUUGUAAAUUACAACUGCAAUUAACUAGUUAUUUCUUUAGUGGUUAUUCUGUGCUGUAAGUUUCUACUGGAAUACAAUCAAUAAGAAUAAUAUAUUUUUGAAAUCUGGGAAGCUGACUCAGUUAGUAAAGUGCUUGUUUUCCAAGAACAAGAGCCUGAGUUUAACUCCCAGAACCUAUGUU
This 2348-nucleotide long non-coding RNA is filed under the name Mus musculus (house mouse). Its description in RNAcentral is "long non-coding RNA chr6:115173694-115176042". Lineage: Eukaryota; Metazoa; Chordata; Mammalia; Rodentia; Muridae. The record is from RNAcentral.